RNAcentral lists this long non-coding RNA (445 nucleotides) under Lactuca sativa (garden lettuce). RNAcentral describes it as "long non-coding RNA (LSAT_LNC006154)". The record is from RNAcentral. Lineage: Eukaryota; Viridiplantae; Streptophyta; Magnoliopsida; Asterales; Asteraceae.
CCAUUUGCGAUUGAUGAUCUUCAAAACCCUCAAAAAUGUGAUAAUUACACGAUUAUGUAAAUGACAUUGUGUUACUAAACUAACAGCAUCUUAAAUGAAAAGCUACCUCGUACUCGGCUUGUAUAAGUUCCUUGAGCACACUCAUUCAUCCUAACCUACUAGACCCUAAAUCCACCGUAUCUUGAUACGCCUUCACUGCAGCCACAUAGGCGUCACCGUGGGCGUUUUGUAGUCCAGCCUACAAUCGUUUGGAAUAAUGAAUUAGUAAGCUAAGUGACAACAAACAUACAAGUGGGGACCUUUAUGUGAGUGUCUAAUACAAUAAUAAUUGAAUUGAACUAUUCACCCAUGCAAGUCUUCGUGCGUCAUCCUCUAUUAAAAAUUCAUUAGAUUGAGCUUCACACAGUUGUACUAUUUCACCCUUCAAGCAUUUGAAAAGUAAAAU